GGGGAUAACACUUAGAAAUAGGUGCUAAUACCGCAUAAGCGCACAGCUUCGCAUGAAGCAGUGUGAAAAACUCUGGUGGUAUACGAUGGAUCCGCGUCUGAUUAGCUGGUUGGCGGGGUAAAGGCCCACCAAGGCAACGAUCAGUAGCCGGCCUGAGAGGGUGAACGGCCACAUUGGGACUGAGACACGGCCCAAACUCCUACGGGAGGCAGCAGUGGGGAAUAUUACACAAUGGGGGAAACCCUGAUGCAGCGACGCCGCGUGAGUGAAGAAGUAUUUCGGUACGUAAAGCUCUAUCAGCAGGGAAGAAAAUGACGGUACCUGACUAAGAAGCCCCGGCUAACUACGUGCCAGCAGCCGCGGUAAUACGUAGGGGGCAAGCGUUAUCCGGAUUUACUGGGUGUAAAGGGAGCGCAGACGGCAGCGCAAGUCUGGAGUGAAAUCCCAUGGCUUAACCAUGGAACUGCUUUGGAAACUGUGCAGCUAGAGUGCAGGAGAGGUAAGCGGAAUUCCUAGUGUAGCGGUGAAAUGCGUAGAUAUUAGGAGGAACACCAGUGGCGAAGGCGGCUUACUGGACUGUAACUGACGUUGAGGCUCGAAAGCGUGGGGAGCAAACAGGAUUAGAUACCCU
This 631-nucleotide ribosomal RNA is filed under the name uncultured bacterium. Its description in RNAcentral is "bacterial SSU rRNA". It matches the Rfam family "Bacterial small subunit ribosomal RNA", at positions 139 to 788 of the family's 1533-position model. The record is from RNAcentral.